RNAcentral lists this ribosomal RNA (440 nucleotides) under uncultured bacterium. Its description in RNAcentral is "partial 16S ribosomal RNA". It matches the Rfam family "Bacterial small subunit ribosomal RNA", at positions 338 to 795 of the family's 1533-position model. The record is from RNAcentral.
CCUACGGGAGGCAGCAGUGGGGAAUAUUGCACCAUGGGGGAAACCCUGAUGCAGCGACGCCGCGUGAGUGAAGAAGUAUUUCGGUAUGUAAAGCUCUAUCAGCAGGGAAGAAAAUGACGGUACCUGAUUAAGAAGCCCCGGCUAACUACGUGCCACCAGCCGCGGUGAUACGUAGGGGGCAAGCGUUAUCCGGAUUUACUGGGUGUAAAGGGAGCGUAGACGGCAGCACAAGUCUGGAGGUAAAUGCCGGGGCUUAACCCCGGAACUGCUUUGGAAACUGUGCAGCUAGAGUGCAGGAGAGGUAAGUGGAAGUCCUAGUGUAGCGGUGAAAUGCGGAGAUAUUAGGAGGAACACCAGUGGCGAAGGCGGCUUACUGGACUGUAACUGACGUUGAGGCUCGAAAGCGUGGGGAGCAAACAGGAUUAGAUACCCUAGUAGUC